UCCUCUUGAAAAUAAUUUGAGGUAUGGCCUGCUCAAUGCGUAAAGUAAAUGGCUGCAGUACUUUGACUGUGCAAAGGUAGCAUAAUAAGUUGGCCUUUAAUUGGGGUCUGGAAUGAAUGGUUUGACAAAGAUUUAACUUUCUUAGGAUAAAAGUUUUUGAAAUUAAAUUGUUUGUAAAAAUGCUUACAUGAAAGAGAGGGACGAGAAGACCCUAUAGAUCUUUGAAUGAACAUGUAAUUUAUUAGUUUUCUUUUAAGCAGAGAAAAAUUAUAAAAUUAUUUUGUUUAUUUUAUUUGGGGAAAAUCCUGAAAAAAAAACUUCGGUUAAAAAUACUUAAAGAUAGAAUUAUCAAAAAAUUGAUCCAUGAGUUACUUUUAAUAGUAAGAAGUGAAAAAAUGAAAAAGUUACCUUAGGGAUAACAGGACAAUGAUUUCCUUGGAGGCCUUAUCUUCGGGAACGUUUGUUACCUCGAUGUUGAAUUAAGUUAUCUUAAAAAAGGAGAAAUUUUUAGAGUUGGUCUGUUCGACCAUUAAAAAC
This 537-nucleotide ribosomal RNA is filed under the name Goniodes biordinatus. Its description in RNAcentral is "partial 16S ribosomal RNA". It matches the Rfam family "Bacterial large subunit ribosomal RNA", at positions 1830 to 2595 of the family's 2925-position model. Lineage: Eukaryota; Metazoa; Arthropoda; Insecta; Psocodea; Philopteridae. The record is from RNAcentral.